RNAcentral lists this long non-coding RNA (966 nucleotides) under Xyrichtys novacula (pearly razorfish). Lineage: Eukaryota; Metazoa; Chordata; Actinopteri; Labriformes; Labridae. The record is from RNAcentral.
GCGGCGCCAAUCACGUUCGUUUAUCAUACCGCGGCAAUUCAGUGUGAGAGGAAGCAGGAGGAGACAGAUGAGCAACAGGUCGGUUUUUAUCUAUUUUCGCUGGUUCUUCACUAAUACAAACGGACAACUUUAUGUAACAAACUUUAUUGAACUCAUAGGAGCCCGUUACUAGUCUGUGGUGAUUUGAGGAGGGCUGUAGAUGUGAAGAUUGAACUGUGGACUGGUGAGCAGAAUUGUUUGUCUUGAUAGCUUAGCCACCUCCAUUCAGAUGAAUGGAUGGUGUUAGCUGGAUGAUGCCAAUGCUUAACUCUAAAAUGUGAUUGCUAAUAUGUAACAUUGAUUCCUGAAUCAAAUGUAUGGAAUGAAAUGAGUAUAUAAUAUAAAUGCUGUAAAUUUUAUUUAUUUGGACUAAUGGCAAGUGCUAUACUGUGGAUUAUGAUGAUUAUGUUGCGAUUGAAAUGAACUGCAGUACUUUGAUUGAAAAGACACAUGUAUACACUGCAAUUCAAGCAAUGUAUAUUGAUUGUGACAUUGUGAUUUACUUGAACCCUGGCUUUACAGGCCAAAGGAAGUGACCUACAGACCCAGGAAGCCCACAUCUCUCUGCCAGGCUGGUAGGGGCUCCUUGUAGCCGCAACACUCUCACCCCACUGUACAGCCCAUCAAUCCAGACACACACACACACACUCCACCCAACAUUUUCCCUUUUCCUCCCAAUCCUCUGGACUCACACCUUUGCACCCAGACGUGGGUUGUUGUGUUGUGAGGAACUAUUGGUGGCCAAGUGCCCAUUACUUAUUUGGUCAUCGUGUUGUUUGACUAACUGAUUGAACUGAUUUACAUUGUCUGACUUCACUGAUUUAUUGCACUGUACUUCUGUUAUCAUUUCCAUGUUAUGUAUGUCCUUGUAUGUCACUGUAAAUAAUUGCACUGUGGUUAUUAGUCAUCUGCUUGCUUAAAUAUAUG